Molecule: ribosomal RNA, 250 nt
Filed under: uncultured prokaryote
Description: partial 16S ribosomal RNA
Rfam family: Bacterial small subunit ribosomal RNA
Source: RNAcentral
UACGUAGGGGGCGAGCGUUAUCCGGAAUUACUGGGCGUAAAGAGUGCGUAGGUGGUCCUGCAAGCGCGGAGGUCUAAGGCUACGGCCUAACCGUAGUUCGCCCCGCGAACUGCAGAACUUGAGUACAGGAGGGGAAAGCGGAAUUCCUAGUGUAGCGGUGAAAUGCGUAGAUAUUAGGAGGAACACCAGUGGCGAAGGCGGCUUUCUGGACUGUAACUGACACUGAGGCACGAAAGCGUGGGUAGCAAAC